GUAUGAAUAAUGACUCGACUAAUUAGAAAUAAAUACGUAUCGCAAAAAUUUCAGCAAUGCCAAAUGGUUCACGUAACGGGCAAUUUUUAGUGUUUCAAAAACAUAUUUUUCAAGCUGAGAUUUUAAUUUGAGAGUCAAACGCAUAAAUAAUAAGUCACAUAUUUAAUAAAGUAUACAUUAAAUGUUUAUAAUAGCCCAUGUAAGAUGGUUCUCUACCCCAUAUUAGCCUAAACACAUAUUUUAAGCCAAAUUGAUUCGAAAAUAUAAUCAAAACACUCGAAAUAGGUAAAAUCAGGAGGUACUUUUAUGUGGGCGCUUCUCCGAAACAUUGACAUUGAAACAUUUCCGCGAAAUGGUCUUCUACCCCCUUAACAGCUACGAUGCCAAAUAAAGGUAAGAUCGAUUGAAAAUUUUCACCAAACUCUGGAAAUAGCUGUUAUCAGCGGAUACCUUUAUAAAAGGGUUAUACCAAUAUAUGUGUAUGGCUGAGCUAUAUAAAAUGGACCCUAAAAACGUUGAACCCGAACAAUUUUUCAAGUAUAACAUAAUUUUCCCCGUAUAACAUUACAUGUGAGUUAAGGUUACUUUUAAGGGUUUGGAAGAAUUUACCGAGGAUAUGCAUACUUUUUUUUAUAAAUUUUCAAUUCGCUCCACUAUUUUAUAUAGGUCGCAUAUUACAGUGCCUCUUCAUAUUCGGUAUUUCAAUUUGAGGUAUUUUGAAGGGAUCAAAAGCAAUUUUUGAGGUUAGAAAUCAUUUGUCAAAAAAUUACAACAUAUUAAAAUGAGUGCGCUAUUCGAUGUUAUAUGCGAUCUUUCAUGUGUAAAAUUGGCAUCUGGCUUUCAACUCCAUCGUGCUUCAGCUGGAAGAUGCGAACACAUUUAAACAAACAAAUUUGACUGACAAAGGUUUAUAGGCUCAUUUCAAAACGUGGACCUACUUCUUUCAUAUGACAAUAAUCCGUCCAGUGAGAACUGAAAAUGCAAAAUUCAUUGGGACUGCCAUCAGUGAAAUACCGAAUAUAAAGGGCGCAAAAUAGUAGAGCCAACUGGACGUUUUGUCAUGAUAUGGGUCAUAAACCCCCGGAUUAGGGUACAACCCGGUAAUGGCAUAAAUAUUUCAAUUUUGGAAAAAGGGCCCAUCUUGGUCUAGACCACAUUCAUCAAUUGAUUUGGAUAAAAAAAAUGUAUCUAGGCUACCCAGGGGUAGAGAACCGUCGUACAGAUAAUUGUCCACAUAGGGAUUUUUUUAAGUAUAGUCCCCACAUUAGUGUACCCCCAUGUCAACUUUCUCAACCAAUGUGCGGUUAAAAUAUAAUAUUUUUAUUCUAUUGAAUUUGCAAACCCCAAGAGAUUAUUGGUUGGGAACGUAGAUUUGGGAUGUACAUCUAUGUGAAAUAAACUGCGAAAUGUGAAAAAGCGACUCCGUCAGUUGGAAAUUGUGGCAGAAACAUCAAAAAAUACGAAUAUUAGAUAGUAGCACGGGACCGAAUAUUUAUUUAAUCGUCAUUGAAUUAAAUUAUAAUGAAAAAUGUGGAAUUAAUUCCAAUCUUAUGGUAAUGCGUAUAAAAUAGCAAUUAUCUUUGACUAUUCUGAAAUCAUUCUGUCAUCUUUUAUGAUGUGGUUAAAAGUACAUACCACACAGUACGUUUUCUAAAAGUUGGAAACAUAAACUCUAAAUUACAGCUCAUUUGAAUGGAAGAUGCUGCUAAGCUCUUUACAAAAAAAAAAAAAAAAAAAAAAAAAAAACCAAAA
Long non-coding RNA from Musca domestica (house fly), 1752 nucleotides. RefSeq lists it as uncharacterized. NCBI's taxonomy places the organism in Eukaryota, Metazoa, Arthropoda, Insecta, Diptera, Muscidae. The record is from RefSeq and is a predicted model, not a curated record. The transcript has 2 exons.